UACGUAGGGUGCGAGCGUUAAUCGGAAUUACUGGGCGUAAAGCGUGCGCAGGCGGUUCGUUGUGUCGGCGGUGAAAGCCCCGGGCUUAACCUGGGAACGGCCGUUGAAAACGGCGAACUGGAGUGUGGCAGAGGGGGGUGGAAUUCCGCGUGUAGCAGUGAAAUGCGUAGAGAUGCGGAGGAACACCGAUGGCGAAGGCGGCUACCUGGUCCGGAUCUGACGCUGAGGCGCGAAAGCGUGGGGAGCAAACAGG
RNAcentral lists this ribosomal RNA (253 nucleotides) under uncultured bacterium. RNAcentral describes it as "partial 16S ribosomal RNA". It matches the Rfam family "Bacterial small subunit ribosomal RNA", at positions 524 to 776 of the family's 1533-position model. The record is from RNAcentral.